Long non-coding RNA from Oncorhynchus tshawytscha (Chinook salmon), 2637 nucleotides. Lineage: Eukaryota; Metazoa; Chordata; Actinopteri; Salmoniformes; Salmonidae. The record is from Ensembl.
CGCAAAACCUGAACCUAUAGGGGAGGGUCUGGGUGGAUGUUUGUCCGCGGUGGCGGCUCUGGCGCGGGACGUGGACUCCACUCCACCAUAGUCUUUCUCCGCCUCCUUAACCGCCUCCACGGCCUCUUCAGAGCGGCGACCCUCACCGCCGACCUCAGACUGGGGACCCUAGCCACGGGUCCGGAAUGGAUGGGAGAUUUUGCCAGUGCCGGAGUGAAGGAUGACUCCGGCAGCGCCGGACAGGCGGGAGACUCUGGCAGCGCCGGACAGGCGGGAGACUCCGACAGCUCCGGAGUGAAGGGCGAUUCCGGCAUCGCCGGCGUGACAGACGGCUCUGGCAGCUCCUGGCUGACUGACGUCUCUGGCAGCUCCUGGCUGACUGGGGGCUCAGGACAGAUUGGCGGCUCUGGCAGCUCAGGACAGACUGGCGGCUCUGGCGGCUCAGGACAAACUGGCGGCUCUGGCAGCUCAGGACAAACUGCCGGCUCUGGCAGCUCAGGACAGACGGGAGACUCUGGCAGUUCAGCACAGACGGGAGACUCUGGCAGCUCAGGACAGACGGGAGACUCUGGCAGCGCUGGGCAGGAGGAAGGUUCUGGCAGAGCUGGACAGGCGGAAGCACCUGUAGGGAGAAGACGGAGAGACAGCCUGGUGCGGGGGGCUGCCACCGGAGGGCUGGUGCAUGGAGGUGGCACCGGAUAGACCGGACCGUGAAGGCACACAGGAGCUCUUGAGCACCGAGCCUGCCCAACCUUACCUGGUUGAAUGCUCCCCGUAGCCAGGCCAGUGUGGCGAGGUGGAAUAGCCCGCACUGGGCUGUGCUGGCGAACCGGGGACACCAUGCGUAAGGCUGGUGCCAUGUACACCGGCCCGAGGAGACGCACUGUAGACCAGAUGCGCUGAGCCGGCUUCAUGGCACCUGGCUCGAUGCCCACUCUAGCCCGGCCGAUACGAGGCACUGCAAUGUACCGCACCGGGCUAUGCACACGCACCGGGGACACCUUGCGCCUCACGGCAUAACACGGUGCCUGCCCGGUACCACUCGCUCUCCGGUAAGCACGGGGAGUUGGCUCAGGUCUCCUACCUGACUUAGCCACACUCCCCGUGUGCACCCGCCCAAGAAAGUUUUGGGGCUGCCUCCUCAUAUCGCCGCCUCUCAGCUUUCGCUGCCUCCAGCUCUGCCUUGGGGCGGCGAUAUUCCCCAGCCUGUGCCCAGGGUCCUUUGCCGUCCAGGAUCUCCUCCCAUGUCCAGGAGUCCUGAGAUUGCUGCUGCUGCUGCUGCCCGUUACCAGGCUGCUUGGUCCUUGUUGGUGGGUGGUUCUGUAACGGCUGUUGUCGGGAGAAAGAGAGGACCAAGGUGCAGCAUGCUGUUCUUGCCAUAAUAUGGAGAAUGCCAAGAGUGUGCAGAGCCGCCAUCAAGGCAAAGUGCCGCUGAUAUUUAGCCAAAGGUAUAUAUAGUUUUUUGUGUGCUCUAGGGCAACGGUGUCUAGAAUGGAAUUUGUAUUUGUUGUCCUGACCUUUUUGGAACACCAUUAUUUUUGUCUUACUGAGGUUUACUGUCAGGGCCUUGGUUGGGGACAGAAGAACCAGGUCAUCAGUAGACAUUUGACUUCAGAUUCUAUUUGGGUGAGGCCGGAUGCUGCAGACUGUUCUUGUGCCCUCGCCAAUUCGUUGAUAUAUAUUUUGAAGAGGGUGGGGCUUAAGCUGCAUCCUUGUCUCACCCCACGACCCUGUGGAAAGAAAUGUGUGUGUUUUUUGCCCAUUUUAACCACACACAUUUUGUUUGUGUACAUGGAUUUUAUAAUGUGGUAUGUUUUUCACCCAACACCACUGUCCAUCAGUUUGUAUAGCAGACACUCAUGCCAAAUUGCAUCAAAAGCUUUUUUGAAAUCGACAAAGCAUGAUGCUCUCGAUGGCUAAAGAGAAAUGUUCCUGCACGUGUUCAAAGGGGCCCAUGUCUUUGUCUCCCUGCUGUGAAAACUGUUAUGUGACUUCCUUGGAGUCCAAAGGUAUGAACACUGAGCAUUAUGAUGGAAGCCUAUCCAGUCGAGGAAGGGAAUCUAUAUUUUGGAGAGGCAGCAGGGUGCACUGCAACUGUCUACACUGUCCCCUGGUUCCUGGUUAUUUUCCUUCCUAACAGGCAGAGGAUUGGGGCCUCAGAGGCAUUGGACACAGCUGAGUAGACUGGACAGGAAACAGUCGGCCUUACAAGGGAUUGAUCAAGUCAGCCCAGAGAGAGAACACACACAUGCACAUACACACACACCGCAGACUAUGAUUAAAAACCAGUUGUUCCUGAUCCAAUAAGCCAGGCUGAAAGAGAACUCUAAUUAAACAUAGGUGGCAUGGCAACGCUACACAUGUUGGGUUGUGUUAUGCCCUAUGACGAGCCAUGAACUAUGAACUGUUCUGUAUGUUUUGUUGCUGUAAUGAAUACCACUGCAAGGCCUGUGUGUUAGUGCUGUGUUACUGCUGUGUGUUCAUUUGCCUGAAUUUGUUUCUAGUCGGCCUAUAAACAGGCCAUGGCCACUGGCAUGUCUCUGGUGAUACUGAUAGAAAGAGUUAUCCUGACCUCUCUGCUGUGGCUGUACACUUAUCAUGAGCCAGGACACUCACACUGAGGAGAGGGUAGAGAGG